GCUCAGCUUAAUCACCUUUCAACCAAAUUUUACCUGGUUCUUUACCUGCACUAAUUGGCCAUACCAUCAUACACAGGAGGCAGCCAGCAUUCACACCAGCAAUGAAAAGAAAGUGAGUCUGGAAAACACCAGCGGAAGACAAGCACUGUUUUUCUUUUCAGAGAGAGAAGAGUAACAAUGGAAAGACAUCUGGAAGUAGUAAUAGAUGUAGGGGUCACUUAGAAAGAAAGUGAAGGAAAGACCACUGAAAAAAAAAUUAGGGAAAAAAUAUAUAUACAUAGAUAUAUAUCACUGCUGUACUGCCUAGAGUCUGUAAUAAAGCCCAGGAUAUACCA
Molecule: long non-coding RNA, 335 nt
Organism: Erinaceus europaeus (western European hedgehog)
Lineage: Eukaryota; Metazoa; Chordata; Mammalia; Eulipotyphla; Erinaceidae
Exons: 2
Source: RefSeq, a predicted model, not a curated record